AUCGCCUACAGUGACGAAGUACGGAAUGAGCUCCUAGGGGAUGCUGGGAAUUCCUCAGAGAACCAGUUGAUAAAAUUACGUGAGGAGAGGGCACAUCUGCUGGAUAACACGGAAAGGCUGGAGAGGUCAUCUCGGAGACUAGAGGCUGGAUACCAGAUAGCAGUGGAGACCGAGCAAAUCGGCCAAGAGAUGUUGGAAAACCUGAGUCAUGACAGAGAGAGGAUACAGCGGGCACGUGAGCGACUCCGGGAAACAGAUGCAAACUUGGGGAAGAGCUCUCGGAUUCUGACUGGGAUGUUGCGAAGGACUAAGCCAGAAUCCAGUCAAGGACAGAAAUUCAUAGAGACCCGGCGGGCUCCCCAGAGAUGCUGAUAACCUUUCCACACUUGUUAUGGACCCACUAAUGACGCUACUUCAGGUUUUUGGGGUUUUUUGGACUUUUUUCAUUCUGAGAAGAAGAAACAGAAUAUGACACCACGUGAUUAAGAAGGCCAGGAAGACCUGGGAGGAGUUGGGAGAGGGGAAAGGGUAUGAUCAAAUUGUAUUCAAUGAAAAUAUAUAAAUCUAAUUAACAACUU
RNAcentral lists this long non-coding RNA (578 nucleotides) under Rattus norvegicus (Norway rat). Its description in RNAcentral is "long non-coding RNA NONRATT001880". The record is from RNAcentral. Lineage: Eukaryota; Metazoa; Chordata; Mammalia; Rodentia; Muridae.